RNAcentral lists this ribosomal RNA (122 nucleotides) under Salvator merianae (Argentine black and white tegu). Lineage: Eukaryota; Metazoa; Chordata; Lepidosauria; Squamata; Teiidae. The record is from RNAcentral.
GGUUAAGUCUCAUCAUUUAGGAUAUGCUUUGCCAGUCUUGUCCGAUCUCAGAAGCUAAGCUGAGUUGAGCCUCAUUAGUGCUUGAAUGAGAGACCACCUGGAAACAGCAGGGAUUGUAGGCU